GCUUAGCCCUAAACAUAGAUGGCAAACACACAAUGCCAUCCGCCAGAGAACUACAAGUGAAAAACUAGAAACUCCAAGGACUUGGCGGUACUCCAUAUCGACCUAGAGGAGCCUGUCCUAUAAUCGAUAAUCCACGUUAUACCUCACCACCCCUUGCAAUUCAGCCUAUAUACCGCCGUCGUCAGCCUACCUUAUGAAAGAAACAAAGUAGACAAAACAGUUAAUAACUAAAACGUCAGGUCAAGGUGUAGCACAUGGAGUGGAAGAGAUGGGCUACACUUUCUACCACAGAACAUACGAACAGCACAAUGAAACUUGUACUAAAAGGUGGAUUUAGCAGUAAGAAAAACAAGAAACUUUGCCUGAAACUCGCUCUGGAG
This 380-nucleotide ribosomal RNA is filed under the name Trachylepis capensis (Cape three-lined skink). RNAcentral describes it as "partial 12S ribosomal RNA". It matches the Rfam family "Bacterial small subunit ribosomal RNA", at positions 794 to 1379 of the family's 1533-position model. Lineage: Eukaryota; Metazoa; Chordata; Lepidosauria; Squamata; Scincidae. The record is from RNAcentral.